CAGCCGCCGCGGGAAUACGGAGGGUGCAAGCGUUAAUCGGAAUUACUGGGCGUAAAGCGCACGCAGGCGGUCUGACAAGUCAGAUGUGAAAUCCCCGGGCUUAACCUGGGAACUGCAUUUGAAACUGUCAGGCUGGAGUCUUGUAGAGGGGGGUAGAAUUCCAGGUGUAGCGGUGAAAUGCGUAGAGAUCUGGAGGAAUACCGGUGGCGAAGGCGGCCCCCUGGACAAAGACUGACGCUCAGGUGCGAAAGCGUGGGGAGCAAACAGGAUUAGAUACCCCGGUAGUCCCUGUCUCUUAUAA
This 301-nucleotide ribosomal RNA is filed under the name uncultured bacterium. Its description in RNAcentral is "partial 16S ribosomal RNA". It matches the Rfam family "Bacterial small subunit ribosomal RNA", at positions 509 to 809 of the family's 1533-position model. The record is from RNAcentral.